UCGAGCGGAGAUGAGGUGUGCUUGCUACUGAUCUUAGCGGCGGACGGGUGAGUAAUACUUAGGAAUCUGGCUAUUAGUGGGGGACAACAUUUCGAAAGGGAUGCUAAUACCGCAUACGUCCUACGGGAGAAAGCAGGGGAUCUUCGGACCUUGCGCUAAUAGAUGAGCCUAAGUCGGAUUAGCUAGUUGGUGGGGUAAAGGCCUACCAAGGCGACGAUCUGUAGCGGGUCUGAGAGGAUGAUCCGCCACACUGGGACUGAGACACGGCCCAGACUCCUACGGGAGGCAGCAGUGGGGAAUAUUGGACAAUGGGGGGAACCCUGAUCCAGCCAUGCCGCGUGUGUGAAGAAGGCCUUAUGGUUGUAAAGCACUUUAAGCGAGGAGGAGGGUACUGGUAUUAAUACUACCAGGUACUGGACGUUACUCGCAGAAUAAGCACCGGCUAACUCUGUGCCAGCAGCCGCGGUAAUACAGAGGGUGCGAGCGUUAAUCGGAUUUACUGGGCGUAAAGCGUGCGUAGGCGGCUAAUUGAGUCGGAUGUGAAAUCCCCGAGCUUAACUUGGGAAUUGCAUUCGAUACUGGUUAGCUAGAGUGUGGGAGAGGAUGGUAGAAUUCCAGGUGUAGCGGUGAAAUGCGUAGAGAUCUGGAGGAAUACCGAUGGCGAAGGCAGCCAUCUGGCCUAACACUGACGCUGAGGUACGAAGCAUGGGGAGCAAACAGGAUUAGAUACCCUGGUAGUCCAUGCCGUAAACGAUGUCUACUAGCCGUUGGUCUCUUUGAGGGAUUAGUGGCGCAGCUCACGCGAUAAGUAGACCGCCUGGGGAGUACGGUCGCAAGACUAAAACUCAAUGAAUUGACGGGGGCCCGCACAAGCGGUGGAGCAUGUGGUUUAAUUCGAUGCAACGCGAGAACUUACCUGGUCUUGACAUAUAAGAACUUUCCAGAGAUGGAUUGGUGCGUCUGGACUUACAUACAGUGCUGCAUGGCUGUCGUCAGCUCGUG
This 1002-nucleotide ribosomal RNA is filed under the name Acinetobacter ursingii. RNAcentral describes it as "bacterial SSU rRNA". It matches the Rfam family "Bacterial small subunit ribosomal RNA", at positions 62 to 1064 of the family's 1533-position model. Lineage: Bacteria; Pseudomonadati; Pseudomonadota; Gammaproteobacteria; Moraxellales; Moraxellaceae. The record is from RNAcentral.